UGAGCUAGUUGGUGAGGUAAAGGCUUACCAAGGCGACGAUCUGUAGCGGGUCUGAGAGGAUGAUCCGCCACACUGGAACUGAGACACGGUCCAGACUCCUACGGGAGGCAGCAGUGGGGAAUUUUGGACAAUGGGGGCAACCCUGAUCCAGCCAUGCCGCGUGAGUGAAGAAGGCCUUCGGGUUGUAAAGCUCUUUCGGCCGGGAAGAAAUCGCAUAGGCCAAUACCCUGUGUGGAUGACGGUACCGGAAUAAGAAGCACCGGCUAACUACGUGCCAGCAGCCGCGGUAAUACGUAGGGUGCGAGCGUUAAUCGGAAUUACUGGGCGUAAAGCGUGCGCAGGCGGUUUUGUAAGACAGGCGUGAAAUCCCCGGGCUUAACCUGGGAACUGCGUUUGUGACUGCAAGGCUAGAGUACGGCAGAGGGGGGUGGAAUUCCACGUGUAGCAGUGAAAUGCGUAGAGAUGUGGAGGAACACCAAUGGCGGAGGCAGCCCCCUGGGUCGAUACUGACGCUCAUGCACGAAAGCGUGGGUAGCAAACAGGAUUAGAUACCCUGGUAGUCCACGCCCUAAACUAUGUCAACUAGGUGUUGGGUGGGUAAAACCAUUUAGUACCGUAGCUAACGCGUGAAGUUGACCGCCUGGGGAGUACGGCCGCAAGGUUAAAACUCAAAGGAAUUGACGGGGACCCGCACAAGCGGUGGAUGAUGUGGAUUAAUUCGAUGCAACGCGAAAAACCUUACCUACCCUUGACAUGCCAGGAACUUGCCAGAGAUGGCUUGGUGCCCGAAAGGGAGCCUGGACACAGGUGCUGCAUGGCUGUCGUCAGCUCGUGUCGUGAGAUGUUGGGUUAAGUCCCGCAACGAGCGCAACCCUUGUCGUUAAUUGCCAUCAUUUGGUUGGGCACUUUAACGAGACUGCCGGUGACAAACCGGAGGAAGGUGGGGAUGACGUCAAGUCCUCAUGGCCCUUAUGGGUAGGGCUUCACACGUCAUACAAUGGUCGGUACAAAGGGUUGCCAAGCCGCGAGGCGGAGCCAAUCCCAGAAAGCCGAUCGUAGUCCGGAUUGCAGGCUGCAACUCGCCUGCAUGAAGUCGGAAUCGCUAGUAAUCGUGGAUCAGCAUGUCACGGUGAAUACGUUCCCGGGUCUUGUACACACCGCCCGUCACACCAUGGGAGCGGGUUCCGCCAGAAGUAGGUAGCCUAACCGCAAGGGGGGCGCUUACC
RNAcentral lists this ribosomal RNA (1226 nucleotides) under metagenome. RNAcentral describes it as "bacterial SSU rRNA". It matches the Rfam family "Bacterial small subunit ribosomal RNA", at positions 241 to 1458 of the family's 1533-position model. The record is from RNAcentral.